UGAAUGACUCUCGGCAACGGAUAUCUYGGCUCUUGCAUCGAUGAAGAACGUAGCGAAAUGCGAUACUUGGUGUGAAUUGCANAAUCCCGUGAACCAUCGAGUCUUUGAACGCAAGUUGCGCCCGAGGCCACUAGGUUGAGGGCACGUCUGCCUGGGCGUCACAC
This 164-nucleotide ribosomal RNA is filed under the name Caltha leptosepala. Its description in RNAcentral is "5.8S ribosomal RNA". It matches the Rfam family "5.8S ribosomal RNA". Rfam says of the family: 5.8S ribosomal RNA (5.8S rRNA) is a component of the large subunit of the eukaryotic ribosome. It is transcribed by RNA polymerase I as part of the 45S precursor that also contains 18S and 28S rRNA. Functionally, it is thought that 5.8S rRNA may be involved in ribosome translocation. Lineage: Eukaryota; Viridiplantae; Streptophyta; Magnoliopsida; Ranunculales; Ranunculaceae. The record is from RNAcentral.